UACGUAGGUGGCAAGCGUUGUCCGGAAUUAUUGGGCGUAAAGCGCUCGCAGGCGGUCUUUUAAGUCUGAUGUGAAAUCUCGUGGCUUAACCACGAACGGUCAUUGGAAACUGGAGGACUUGAGUACAGAAGAGGAGAGUGGAAUUCCACGUGUAGCGGUGAAAUGCGUAGAGAUGUGGAGGAACACCAGUGGCGAAGGCGACUCUCUGGUCUGUAACUGACGCUGAGGAGCGAAAGCGUGGGGAGCGAACAGG
RNAcentral lists this ribosomal RNA (253 nucleotides) under uncultured bacterium. RNAcentral describes it as "partial 16S ribosomal RNA". It matches the Rfam family "Bacterial small subunit ribosomal RNA", at positions 524 to 776 of the family's 1533-position model. The record is from RNAcentral.